This 466-nucleotide ribosomal RNA is filed under the name uncultured bacterium. RNAcentral's name for it is "bacterial SSU rRNA". It matches the Rfam family "Bacterial small subunit ribosomal RNA", at positions 328 to 792 of the family's 1533-position model. The record is from RNAcentral.
UUGCCAGACUCCUACGGGAGGCAGCAGUGAGGAAUAUUGGUCAAUGGGCGCGAGCCUGAACCAGCCAAGUCGCGUGAGGGAAGACGGUCCUAUGGAUUGUAAACCUCUUUUGUCGGGGAGCAAAAGACGCCACGCGUGGCGUUCCGAGAGUACCCGAAGAAAAAGCAUCGGCUAACUCCGUGCCAGCAGCCGCGGUAAUACGGAGGAUGCGAGCGUUAUCCGGAUUUAUUGGGUUUAAAGGGUGCGCAGGCGGAUUUUUAAGUCAGCGGUCAAAUCGUGGGGCUCAACCCCAUCCAGCCGUUGAAACUGGGGAUCUAGAGCGUGCGAGAGGUAUGCGGAAUGCGUGGUGUAGCGGUGAAAUGCAUAGAUAUCACGCAGAACCCCGAUUGCGAAGGCAGCAUACCGGUGCACAACUGACGCUCAGGCACGAAAGCGUGGGUAUCGAACAGGAUUAGAUACCCGAGUA